This 253-nucleotide ribosomal RNA is filed under the name uncultured bacterium. Its description in RNAcentral is "partial 16S ribosomal RNA". It matches the Rfam family "Bacterial small subunit ribosomal RNA", at positions 524 to 776 of the family's 1533-position model. The record is from RNAcentral.
UACGUAGGGACCAAGCGUUGUUCGGAUUUACUGGGCGUAAAGGGCGCGUAGGCGGCAAUUCAAGUCAUCUGUGAAAUCUCCGGGCUUAACUCGGAACGGUCAGGUGGAACUGCUUUGCUAGAGUGCGGAAGGGGCAAUCGGAAUUCUCGGUGUAGCGGUGAAAUGCGUAGAUAUCGAGAGGAACACCUGAGGUGAAGACGGGUUGCUGGGCCGACACUGACGCUGAAGCGCGAAAGCCAGGGGAGCAAACGGG